Molecule: ribosomal RNA, 572 nt
Filed under: Fusarium equiseti
Lineage: Eukaryota; Fungi; Ascomycota; Sordariomycetes; Hypocreales; Nectriaceae
Description: partial large subunit ribosomal RNA
Rfam family: Eukaryotic large subunit ribosomal RNA
Source: RNAcentral
UUAUUUUUUUUUCAUUCAAAUACAGAGGAAAACAAGCCAACCGGGAUUGCCGUAGUAACGGGGAGCGAAGCGGCAACAGCUCAAAUUUGACAUUUGGCUGUCGGCCCCGAGUUGUAAUUUGUAGAGGAUGCUUAGGGUUCGGUCCCUUCUGACUUCCAUGGAACGGGACGCCAUAGAGGGAGUGAGCCCCGUGUGGUUGGACGCCAAAUAUCUGUAUAGCUCUUUAGGAGAGUAGAGUAGUUUGAGAAUGGUUCUAAAAAUGGGAGGUAUAUGUUUUAUAAAGAUAAAUACCGCCCAGAGACCGAUAGCGCACAAGUAGAGUGAUCGAAAGAUGAAAAGCACUUUGAAAAGAGAGUUAAAAAGUACGUGAAAUUGUUGAAAGGGAAGCGUUUAUGACCAGACUUGGGCAGGGUUAAUCAUGUGGGGUUCUCCCCAGUGCUCUUUUCCAGUCCAGGCCAGCAUCAGUUUUGGCGGGGGGAUAAGGGCUUGGGGAAGGUGGUUCUCUCCGGGGAGUGUUAUAGCCCGGUGGGUAAUACCCCGGCGGGGACUGGAGGUUCGUCGCAUUGGCAAAG